UCCCAGGUGUCUUAGGGGCAAAGAACCUGCCUACCAAAGCAGGAAACAUGGGUUCAAUUCCUGGAUUGGGAA
RNAcentral lists this transfer RNA (72 nucleotides) under Bos taurus (domestic cattle). It matches the Rfam family "tRNA". Rfam says of the family: Transfer RNA (tRNA) molecules are approximately 80 nucleotides in length. Their secondary structure includes four short double-helical elements and three loops (D, anti-codon, and T loops). The record is from Rfam by way of RNAcentral. RNAcentral also lists the same sequence under 2 other names. Lineage: Eukaryota; Metazoa; Chordata; Mammalia; Artiodactyla; Bovidae.